RNAcentral lists this ribosomal RNA (520 nucleotides) under uncultured bacterium. RNAcentral describes it as "bacterial SSU rRNA". It matches the Rfam family "Bacterial small subunit ribosomal RNA", at positions 1 to 522 of the family's 1533-position model. The record is from RNAcentral.
AUUGAGUUUGAUCCUGGCCAGGAUGAACGCUAGCGGCAGGCCUAAUACAUGCAAGUCGAGGGGCAGCGGGUGUAGCAAUACAUGCCGGCGACCGGCGCACGGGUGCGUAACACGUAUGUAAUCUGCCCAUUACUAGGGGAUAGCCCGAAGAAAUUCGGAUUAAUACCCUAUAACAUAACGAAAAGGCAUCUUUUUGUUAUUAAAGCUCCGGCGAUAAUGGAUGAACAUGCGCGACAUUAGCUAGUUGGUGAGGUAACGGCUCACCAAGGCGACGAUGUCUAGGGGUACUGAGAGGUUUCACCCCCACACUGGUACUGAGACACGGACCAGACUCCUACGGGAGGCAGCAGUAAGGAAUAUUGGACAAUGGAGGCAACUCUGAACCAGCCACGCCGCGUGCAGGAUGAAGGCCCUCUGGGUUGUAAACUGCUUUUGUUAGGGAAAAAACCCCUCGAUGCGUUGAGGGUUGAUGGCACCUAAAGAAUAAGGAUCGGCUAACUCCGUGCCAGCAGCCGCAGUA